GACGAACGCUGGCGGCGUGCUUAACACAUGCAAGUCGAACGGAAAGGCCUGCUUUCCCUUGUGGAUUGCGGGUACUCGAGUGGCGAACGGGUGAGUAACACGUGAGUGAUCUGCCCCCAACUUGGGUAUAAGCCUGGGAAACUGGGUCUAAUUCCCGAUAGGACUGCAGGGUGGUGCCUGUGGUGGAAAACGAUUUUCUAGUGGUUGGGGAUGAGCUCGCGGCCUAUCAGCUUGUUGGUGGGGUAAUGGCCUACCAAGGCGGCGACGGGUAGCCGGCCUGGGGGGGCGGGCGGGCGAAUUGGGACUGCGAUACGGCCCCGACUCCUCCGGGCGGCAGCAGAGGGGAAGAUGGCGCAAUGGGCGGAAGCCUGAUGCAGCAACGCCGAGUGGGGGAUGACGGGCUUGGGGUGGUAGACUCCUUUCGACCGCGAGGAAGCCACCUGGUUGGAAGGGUGGUGACGGUAGUGGUAGAAGAAGCACCGGCUAACUACGUG
RNAcentral lists this ribosomal RNA (494 nucleotides) under uncultured bacterium. RNAcentral's name for it is "partial 16S ribosomal RNA". It matches the Rfam family "Bacterial small subunit ribosomal RNA", at positions 28 to 507 of the family's 1533-position model. The record is from RNAcentral.